This 335-nucleotide ribosomal RNA is filed under the name uncultured Planctomycetales bacterium. Its description in RNAcentral is "bacterial SSU rRNA". It matches the Rfam family "Bacterial small subunit ribosomal RNA", at positions 473 to 806 of the family's 1533-position model. Lineage: Bacteria; Pseudomonadati; Planctomycetota; Planctomycetia; Planctomycetales. The record is from RNAcentral.
CUAAGGCUCCAGAGGAAGCCACGGCUAACUCUGUGCCAGCAGCCGCGGUAAUACAGAGGCGGCAAGCGUUGUUCGGAAUUAUUGGGCGUAAAGAGCACGUAGGCGGCCUUGCAAGUCAGUUGUGAAAGCCUUCCGCUUAACGGAAGAAUGCCAGCUGAUACUACAGGGCUUGAGUACGGGAGGGGGGAGUGGAACUUCUGGUGGAGCGGUGAAAUGCGUAGAUAUCAGAAGGAACGCCGGCGGCGAAAGCGACUCUCUGGCCCGAAACUGACGCUGAGUGUGCGAAAGCUAGGGGAGCGAACGGGAUUAGAUACCCCGGUAGUCCUAGCCGUAAA